GAGAGAGAGAGAGAGCGAAAGAGAUUUUUAAGAUUUGAAAAGAAUCCCAGUGAGACCCAGCCCCAGUGACACCAACAGAUUAGCGGGAUUGAAGGCCAUGUUUCCCCGAUUCUCUCACAGAUAGCAGCAGUGGCUAUCGCGGAAGUCAAAUGGGACAGAUGAGGCAGAUAAGGAGAGAGCAGAGGAGGAAAAGGGACUUUCGAUUUUGG
Molecule: unclassified non-coding RNA, 209 nt
Filed under: Hevea brasiliensis (rubber tree)
Lineage: Eukaryota; Viridiplantae; Streptophyta; Magnoliopsida; Malpighiales; Euphorbiaceae
Source: RNAcentral